UACGUAGGCAGCAAGCGUUGUUCGGAGUUACUGGGCGUAAAGGGCGUGCAGGCGGUCUGUUAAGUCUAGGGUGAAAGCUCCCGGCUCAACUGGGAGAGGUCCUUGGAUACUGGCGGACUUGAGGGAGGCAGAGGAAAGUGGAAUUCCCGGUGUAGUGGUGAUAUGCGUAGAUAUCGGGAGGAACACCAGUGGCGAAGGCGGCUUUCUGGGCCUUACCUGACGCUGAGACGCGAAAGCGUGGGGAGCGAACCGG
This 253-nucleotide ribosomal RNA is filed under the name uncultured bacterium. RNAcentral describes it as "partial 16S ribosomal RNA". It matches the Rfam family "Bacterial small subunit ribosomal RNA", at positions 524 to 776 of the family's 1533-position model. The record is from RNAcentral.